GCUCGGAUGAGCUUCACUGGUGUGGGGUGCAGGCUUCAAACCUGUAGGUGGUUAACGCCACAGCCGUUCGAUUCGGCCUUCCGAGCG
Non-coding RNA from Sycon ciliatum, 87 nucleotides. NCBI's taxonomy places the organism in Eukaryota, Metazoa, Porifera, Calcarea, Leucosolenida, Sycettidae. The record is from the annotation of a RefSeq genome assembly.